This 1435-nucleotide long non-coding RNA is filed under the name Pan troglodytes (chimpanzee). Its description in RNAcentral is "lincRNA". The record is from RNAcentral. Lineage: Eukaryota; Metazoa; Chordata; Mammalia; Primates; Hominidae.
GUGCAUACAAAGCCCUGAUGAAUAGAGGCCUGCGCAGAGUGCCUGGGGUGCAAGGCAGCAGGGCAGCCAGUGAACCACUGAGUUCGCACUGUGGCCAGUCCUGUGUGCCCCUGCUGGAUUCUACUUCUAUGAGGGAGGCAGCAAGGAGUUGGGACUUCACAGGGUCUUACUUUGUCGCCCAGGCUGGAGUACAGUGGCAUGAUCAUAGCUCAUUGCAGCCUCCACCUCCCUGGGCUCAGGAGAUCCAUCUCAGCCUCCUGAGUAGCUGGGACCACAGGUUUUGUUCAGGUUUAGCACAAGCUGUGAUGAAUAUCUUCAAGCCUCUGCUUCCUGCUGUGGAAUUGUUGCCAAAGGACACAUUCCCAGAUGGGAUUACUGAGUCAGAGGAAGUGGACAUUGAGUGGCUCUCAACAGACAGGCUGUGUUGCUCUCACAGUGCCCAGCUUCCCAUGGGUGGCCAGCCGAAUGCAUUAUGGGAGAAAGCAGGUCUCGUGGAUAAUAUUUCUGAAGAUCAGAGCAGGUUGUGUCGGGUCCACGUUGGCCAUGACUGCAGCAUGCUCCGGAGGCAGCAGGGGGCACCCUGGAGCUUCGCAUCCUCCCUCAGGCCCGCGGCAUCUCCCCUGGCUCCACCAUCCCCAGGUGUCUCAGCAGCAGCCUUGUGGCUAUGUCUAUUCUUUGCCCUCCGAGUUCUAGGCUGAGGGUGAGGAUUGGAUGAGUUGAUCCACGCAAGGCUCCUGGCACAGUGCCUGGCAUAUGGUUAAAUAGACUUGAAGUUAUAAUUACCAGGCCUGUUUCCUCCUCAUGAGAGGUGGAGCAGUGGUUCCCAAACAUGAUGUGGGAAGUGUGUUAAAAUGCAGAUCCUGGGCUCGACUCUGAAGCUCUCCCAGCAUCCACCUUCCCAGGUGACCAGACUCUUGGGAAGGCAUCACCUCAAGACUCCUGCACCCUUCCUCCAGAGUCCUGGGAUUAAGCUAAAUCCUGGGAAGCUCACUGCAGCCUUGACCUCCUGGGCUCAAGUGAUCCUCCCACCUCAGCCUCCUGGGUAGCUACAACUGCAUAUGUCCAUCAUCACGCCUGGGUGCCUGCCUCCCUUGGGCCUCCCUGCUGCGCCUGGCCACGUGGAAACCCCUGUAGCUCCCUGGCUGUGCAGGAGCAGCCACAGUGUGCCCCUCCCAGGACCACCAUCCCCCUCACUGUCUCUGAGGCACCUGCGUGGACCGGGUCUGGAUUGAGUCUCAUUUCUCUGGAUUCCCACGGCAGCUGGCGGCUGCCUCUCCCACACCCGUCACUCUGUGUCAUGGAAAGCUGUGUGUUUGUCUUCAUUCCCACCGAGUCUGAGCCACUCGAGGUCAGGGCCAUGACCGUGAGCUGCACGUCCUCAGUGCCCAGUGUGAGCCGUGUACAGUAGAGGCUGACUGACGUCUUGGAGGCAGAA